AUGUUUCUAAUGUUUUGUGCACUUAAGUGGGCUCCUGAGUGGUGCAGCGGUCUUAGGCACUGCAUCUCAGUGCAAGAAGUGCAAGUACAGAAGUAUAUGGAUGUUGUUAUUAUACUCCCCUACAGAAGUAUAUGGAUGUUGUUAUUAUACUCCCCUACAGAACUAUAUGGAUGUUGUUAUUAUACUCCCCUACAGAAGUAUUUGGAUGUUGUUAUUGCACUCCCCUACAGAAGUAUUUGGAUGUUGUUAUUGCCCUACAGAAGUAUAUGGAUGUUGUUAUUACACUCCCCUACAGAAGUAUAUGGAUGUUGUUAUUACACUCCCCUACAGAAGUAUUUGGAUGUUGUUAUUACACUCCCCUCCAGAAGUAUUUGGAUGUUGUUAUUACACUCCCCUACAGAAGUAUUUGGAUGUUGUUAUUGCACUCCCCUACAGAACUAUAUGGAUGUUGUUAUUGCCCUCCCCUACAGAACUAUAUGGAUGUUGUUAUUACACUCCCCUACAGAAGUAUAUGGAUGUUGUUAUUACACUCCCCUACAGAAGUAUUUGGAUGUUGUUAUUAUACUCCCCUACAGAAGUAUAUGGAUGUUGUUAUUAUACUCCCCUACAGAAGUAUAUGGAUGUUGUUAUUAUACUCCCCUACAGAAGUAUUUGGAUGUUGUUAUUGCCCUACAGAAGUAUAUGGAUGUUGUUAUUACACUCCCCUACAGAAGUAUAUGGAUGUUGUUAUUAUACUCCCCUACAGAAGUAUAUGGAUGUUGUUAUUAUACUCCCCUACAGAACUAUAUGGAUGUUGUUAUUAUACUCCCCUACAGAAGUAUUUGGAUGUUGUUAUUGCACUCCCCUACAGAAGUAUUUGGAUGUUGUUAUUGCCCUACAGAAGUAUAUGGAUGUUGUUAUUACACUCCCCUACAGAAGUAUAUGGAUGUUGUUAUUACACUCCCCUACAGAAGUAUUUGGAUGUUGUUAUUACACUCCCCUCCAGAAGUAUUUGGAUGUUGUUAUUACACUCCCCUACAGAAGUAUUUGGAUGUUGUUAUUGCACUCCCCUACAGAACUAUAUGGAUGUUGUUAUUGCCCUCCCCUACAGAACUAUAUGGAUGUUGUUAUUACACUCCCCUACAGAAGUAUAUGGAUGUUGUUAUUACACUCCCCUACAGAAGUAUUUGGAUGUUGUUAUUAUACUCCCCUACAGAAGUAUAUGGAUGUUGUUAUUAUACUCCCCUACAGAAGUAUAUGGAUGUUGUUAUUAUACUCCCCUACAGAAGUAUUUGGAUGUUGUUAUUGCCCUACAGAAGUAUAUGGAUGUUGUUAUUACACUCCCCUACAGAAGUAUUUGGAUGUUGUUAUUGCCCUACCCUACAGAACUAUAUGGAUGUUGUUAUUAUACUCCCCUACAGAAGUAUUUGGAUGUUGUUAUUGCACUCCCCUACAGAAGUAUUUGGAUGUUGUUAUUGCCCUACAGAAGUAUAUGGAUGUUGUUAUUACACUCCCCUACAGAACUAUAUGGAUGUUGUUAUUAUACUCCCCUACAGAAGUAUAUGGAUGUUGUUAUUACACUCCCUUACAGAAGUAUAUGGAUGUUGUUAUUACACUCCCCUACAGAAGUAUAUGGAUGUUGUUAUUAUACUCCCCUACAGAACUAUAUGGAUGUUGUUAUUAUACUCCCCUACAGAAGUAUAUGGAUGUUGUUAUUACACUCCCCUACAUAAGUAUUUGGAUGUUGUUAUUACACUCCCCUACAGAAGUAUAUGGAUGUUGUUAUUACACUCCCCUACAGAAGUAUUUGGAUGUUGUUAUUGCACUCCCCUACAGAAGUAUUUUGAUGUUGUUAUUGCCCUACAGAAGUAUUUGGAUGUUGUUAUUACACUCCCCUACAGAAGUAUAUGGAUGUUGUUAUUACACUCCCCUACAGAAGUAUUUGGAUGUUGUUAUUGCACUCCCCUACAGAAGUAUUUGGACAGUGAUGCUAAAAUGUUGAAUUAG
This 1986-nucleotide long non-coding RNA is filed under the name Oncorhynchus mykiss (rainbow trout). RNAcentral's name for it is "lncRNA (ENSOMYG00000068985.1)". The record is from RNAcentral. Lineage: Eukaryota; Metazoa; Chordata; Actinopteri; Salmoniformes; Salmonidae.